RNAcentral lists this ribosomal RNA (309 nucleotides) under uncultured Acidobacteriota bacterium. RNAcentral's name for it is "bacterial SSU rRNA". It matches the Rfam family "Bacterial small subunit ribosomal RNA", at positions 32 to 351 of the family's 1533-position model. Lineage: Bacteria; Pseudomonadati; Acidobacteriota. The record is from RNAcentral.
AAUCAACGCUGGCGGCGUGCCUAACACAUGCAAGUCGCACGAGAAAGGGGCUUCGGUCCUGAGUAAAGUGGCGCACGGGUGAGUAACACGUGACUAACCUACCCUCGAGUGGGGAAUAACCUAGAGAAAUCUGGGCUAAUACCGCAUAACACUUACGAGUCAAAGCAGCAAUGCGCUUGAGGAGGGGGUCGCGGCAGAUUAGUUAGUUGGCAGGGUAAUGGCCUACCAAGACGAUGAUCUGUAUCCGGCCUGAGAGGGCGCACGGACACACUGGAACUGAAACACGGUCCAGACUCCUACGGGAGGCAG